RNAcentral lists this ribosomal RNA (951 nucleotides) under Lactiplantibacillus plantarum. Its description in RNAcentral is "bacterial SSU rRNA". It matches the Rfam family "Bacterial small subunit ribosomal RNA", at positions 446 to 1390 of the family's 1533-position model. Lineage: Bacteria; Bacillati; Bacillota; Bacilli; Lactobacillales; Lactobacillaceae. The record is from RNAcentral.
AGAACAUAUCUGAGAGUAACUGUUCAGGUAUUGACGGUAUUUAACCAGAAAGCCACGGCUAACUACGUGCCAGCAGCCGCGGUAAUACGUAGGUGGCAAGCGUUGUCCGGAUUUAUUGGGCGUAAAGCGAGCGCAGGCGGUUUUUUAAGUCUGAUGUGAAAGCCUUCGGCUCAACCGAAGAAGUGCAUCGGAAACUGGGAAACUUGAGUGCAGAAGAGGACAGUGGAACUCCAUGUGUAGCGGUGAAAUGCGUAGAUAUAUGGAAGAACACCAGUGGCGAAGGCGGCUGUCUGGUCUGUAACUGACGCUGAGGCUCGAAAGUAUGGGUAGCAAACAGGAUUAGAUACCCUGGUAGUCCAUACCGUAAACGAUGAAUGCUAAGUGUUGGAGGGUUUCCGCCCUUCAGUGCUGCAGCUAACGCAUUAAGCAUUCCGCCUGGGGAGUACGGCCGCAAGGCUGAAACUCAAAGGAAUUGACGGGGGCCCGCACAAGCGGUGGAGCAUGUGGUUUAAUUCGAAGCUACGCGAAGAACCUUACCAGGUCUUGACAUACUAUGCAAAUCUAAGAGAUUAGACGUUCCCUUCGGGGACAUGGAUACAGGUGGUGCAUGGUUGUCGUCAGCUCGUGUCGUGAGAUGUUGGGUUAAGUCCCGCAACGAGCGCAACCCUUAUUAUCAGUUGCCAGCAUUAAGUUGGGCACUCUGGUGAGACUGCCGGUGACAAACCGGAGGAAGGUGGGGAUGACGUCAAAUCAUCAUGCCCCUUAUGACCUGGGCUACACACGUGCUACAAUGGAUGGUACAACGAGUUGCGAACUCGCGAGAGUAAGCUAAUCUCUUAAAGCCAUUCUCAGUUCGGAUUGUAGGCUGCAACUCGCCUACAUGAAGUCGGAAUCGCUAGUAAUCGCGGAUCAGCAUGCCGCGGUGAAUACGUUCCCGGGCCUUGUACACAC